RNAcentral lists this ribosomal RNA (460 nucleotides) under uncultured bacterium. RNAcentral describes it as "partial 16S ribosomal RNA". It matches the Rfam family "Bacterial small subunit ribosomal RNA", at positions 338 to 795 of the family's 1533-position model. The record is from RNAcentral.
CCUACGGGAGACAGCAGUGAGGAAUAUUGGUCAAUGGACGAGAGUCUGAACCAGCCAAGUAGCGUGAAGGCUGACUGCCCUAUGGGUUGUAAACUUCUUUUAUAUGGGAAUAAAAUGUUCCACGUGUGGGAUUUUGUAUGUACCAUAUGAAUAAGGAUCGGCUAACUCCGUGCCAGCAGCCGCGGUCAUACGGAGGAUCCGAGCGUUAUCCGGAUUUAUUGGGUUUAAAGGGAGCGUAGGUGGAUUGUUAAGUCAGUUGUGAAAGUUUGCGGCUCAACCGUAAAAUUGCAGUUGAAACUGGCAGUCUUGAGUACAGUAGAGGUGGGCGGAAUUCGUGGUGUAGCGGUGAAAUGCUUAGAUAUCACGAAGAACUCCGAUUGCGAAGGCAGUUCACUGGACUGCAACUGACACUGAGGCUCGAAAGUGUGGGUAUCAAACAGGAUUAGAUACCCUAGUAGUC